Molecule: long non-coding RNA, 571 nt
Filed under: Carica papaya (papaya)
Lineage: Eukaryota; Viridiplantae; Streptophyta; Magnoliopsida; Brassicales; Caricaceae
Description: long non-coding RNA (CPAP_LNC013901)
Source: RNAcentral
ACACCGGAACCCUUUCUGAUAGUGCAAAAAGGUAAAAACUUUUCCUUUUGCACGAAAUUCAAUUUUAAGCUCAUCCAUGGCCAAAUCAGAGUGAAAGGAUCAGCCAAUUGGCCGAAAAAUACCUACGAAGCCCAGCAGCACUGCUACAGAAAAGUUCACAAACUGCCUCCGAUUAGGCCUUUCCCGAUUCUUAUUUCAUGUGAUUUUUUUACUGUUGUGAUCACCAAUUUCUUCUCUAUAGGUUGAUCGAAGCAAAAAACCUAACCGCAACGUGAGCCGAAGGAGCCGCCGUACCGGAGAGCCCCGCCGUUGGUGAGUUUCAGUUUUUCGUAUUUUUUCAGCCCACCGAUGCCCUUUAGCGUGUGUGCUCAUAGGAAUCGAUGCAAAAUCGACCAGAUUCGGUCAAAAAUGACCGAAAACGGCCGACCCGAGGCGGACCGCCGCCGCAAGCGAUGGCACCGUCACCAGAGCACGGCGGAGCCACCGUGCCAAAUUUUUGAAAUUGGUUGAGUGGGCCCUGGGACUAAUUUUGAGUUUAUUUGGAACAUUUAUAGGUACUAUAAGCACGUUU